Molecule: long non-coding RNA, 1130 nt
Organism: Cucurbita moschata (crookneck pumpkin)
Lineage: Eukaryota; Viridiplantae; Streptophyta; Magnoliopsida; Cucurbitales; Cucurbitaceae
Exons: 3
Source: RefSeq, a predicted model, not a curated record
UAAAAAAAAAACAGUCGAGGGGCAAAAUGGACAUUUUACCCCUCAACCCAUUAUAGGGGUCUCGAAGGUCCUCCACAGAAUUCCUGCAAAAGAAAGAAGUGUGAGAGAGAAGGAUUGAGAGAAAGUUUGAGAGAGAAAACUGAAUAGCCGGAGUUUUUCAGGAGAGUCGCCGACGGAAUCCAUCUCUUACGUAGACGUGCACUCUAGAGUUCUUCUUGGAGUGAAGUAAGAACUCGUGUUGAGAUUUCCCCCUCUUUUGUCAAGAUCAUAAGGAAAACCCGCAAGGGAAGAUACACUGCUGAUCUUGGUGAGGAAAUCGGACGAAACGUCGGGAUCUGAGAACCUUUCCAAGAACGGUAAGGAUGUUACCGGACCUCUUUCCGACGCUCAUAACUCACCGUAUGACUAAGCAAAAAUCAAGAAAAAAAUACUAGCACGUAGGUUGAUAGAUGAUCUAAAACUUUGUUGAAGAAAUUAUUUCUGUUUGGAUUAAGAAGCGAAAGAUAGAAAAUGGAGAGAACCUCGAAAAACUAAUCGGAAAAUCUUGAUUUUCUGCUAGGAGGAGAGAGAAGCCGCUGGCGUGCCACGUGCCAACCAACUAGAGGCCCGCGUGCGCCAAUCACCUUUGGACACGCGUCGAGUGCCGUCUGGGAAAACGUAGCUCCAGCUCUCCUGCGACACACGUCCCCAGCUUCGCAACCCGACCCGCACUCCUCGGCUGACCCGAUACCCGCACGGCGAACCGAGCCGAGCCAACGACCCGCGGUCCACCCGAACCACUGCUUCCGACCCGAACCCACGACUGCAGAAAUCUCUGGGCGCGUGACACUCGAGUGUGGAAUCUGCGAGUGGGCGCUCCCCGGCACGUGGAGGCGCGUAUAAGCUGAUUUUUGGCCCGUUCGACUUCUGUUUUCCCUAUUUUCCUCCUGAUUCCAAUCCUAAACCCAUUUUAUAUGAAAUAGGACCUAAUUGAGGAAAAAAUCACCGCCUCUCGAUACGCCAAGUGUGUGGAAACGCUGCGUAAGGGCACGCGCCAUCCAGGUACGUGAGGCGUCGAGUCAAGAGAGGGCGCGUUGAUCGAUGUGGGUUGUCACAGAGGAAGCGUGUCCCGGGGCGUCAGUCUAGUCAUA